UAAAAAGUUCAUUGUGCAAUUCAAUGUGAUUUGAUUUUUAAUUAUAUGUUUAUUUUUUUAUUUUAAUGGAAUUAGUCUUUGUUUUAUUAUUGAUAUCGAAAAAAGAUUUUUUAAUUAUAGUUUAUUAGUAAAGUGGUUGAAGUUUGAAAUAUAUUUUAUUUUUUAAAAGGGAAAAUUUACUUUUUGUACCUUGUGUAUCAGGGUUUAUUAAAUAUAGGUUAAUUAUUUAAUUUUCUCGAUUUGGAAAGAUUUAAUUUGAUAUUUAUUUAAUUGUUAAAUAAUUUUUUUUAAUAUCUUAUUGGAAAUGAAACGUUAGUCGUUUUCUAAUAUAUCUAGUUUUUCAAGAAAAGGAUUUAAUUCUUUGUUUAUAUUUUUAUCUCUUUUUUUGGAGGGUUUAUAAUUUAAAUUAAAAUAUUUAAUGGGAUGAGCUUUUAAAUAUAUUAUUAAAAAUUUUUGACCGGUUUGUUAUUGGUUUGAUUAGAAUUGUCAUUCAUUGAAAUAAUUUUAUAGUUAUUAUUGGGUUUGGUUUGAUUUUUAUUAUUUUUAAGUUUUUUAUUGAAAUGUAAGUCUUAAUUUUUAUUGUUUAGUAAUUAUGAUAAAAUUAGUAAAAUUUAAAUUGUUAAAAUAUUUUGUUUUUGUUAGGUUUAUUAAAGGAAUUCGGCAAAUAUAUUUUUCGCCUGUUUAUUAAAAACAUGUCCUUUUGAUUAUAAUUUAAGGUCUGAUCUGCUCAAUGAGGAUUUAAAUUGCCGCGGUAUCUUGACCGUGCAAAGGUAGCAUAAUAAUUAGUUUUUUUAUUGAAAGCUGGAAUGAAUGAUUGGACGAGAAAAUUUCUGUCUCUGGUAAAUUUAUUUUUAAACUUUACUUUUAAGUUAAAAGGCUUAGAUGUUUUUUAAAGACGAGAAGACCCCAUAGAGUUUUACAUUCUUUUUUAUAAGCAGUUUUUGGUUAUUAAAUUUUUUUAUUAUUUUAGGAUGUUUGGUUGGGGUGACUUAAAGAUUUAAUUAACUCUUUAAAUAGUUAAUCAUUGAUUAGUGAAUAUGAAAUCUGAUUUUUUCAAAUUUAAAACAAAUUACCUUGGGGAUAACAGCGUAAUUUCUUUUUAGAGUUCUUAUUGAAAGGGAAGUUUGCGACCUCGAUGUUGGAUUAAAAUUAAUUUUUGGUGCAGAAGCUUGAAAAUUGGGUCUGUUCGACCUUUAAAAUUUUACAUGAUCUGAGUUUAAACCGGUGUGAGCCAGGUUGGUUUCUAUCUUGAUUUAUAUAUAAUUUUUUAGUACGAAAGGACCAGGAAUUGAAUAUAUUUAUUUUUUUUGUGAAUAAUAUUGUUACUUUGGCAGAUUAGUGCAAUUGAUUUAGAAUCUUUAAAUGUAAGUUU
This 1372-nucleotide ribosomal RNA is filed under the name Athous haemorrhoidalis. Its description in RNAcentral is "16S ribosomal RNA". The stretch from base 894 to 1249 matches the Rfam family "Archaeal large subunit ribosomal RNA", at positions 2155 to 2712 of the family's 2987-position model. The record is from RNAcentral. Lineage: Eukaryota; Metazoa; Arthropoda; Insecta; Coleoptera; Elateridae.